AAGCUUUGGGUCUUUGGAUGAGAUAAGAAUUACAUGUUUUUUGUAGUAUGUGCCUUUUUGUUUCAGGAGCUCUUGAGGGAGGCCACCCUGGUCCGAAGUGCAUCUUACUUCUAACGUCUGCGUGGGCUCUAGCAAAGGAUCUAGCGGAAAAUACGGUUCAGGGAGUGUGUGAAGCCUGGGCCAACGCAGAGAACGAAGAGAAGACGUGGAGGAAGGACAUGGACUUUUGGCCUCGUAUCCACGCCUGCACCAAAGCCCAGACACCAGGUCUAUGUGGCUGUGUCUAACCAGCAGAUUUCUG
Molecule: long non-coding RNA, 301 nt
Organism: Bos indicus x Bos taurus (hybrid cattle)
Lineage: Eukaryota; Metazoa; Chordata; Mammalia; Artiodactyla; Bovidae
Source: Ensembl